Molecule: ribosomal RNA, 253 nt
Filed under: uncultured bacterium
Lineage: Bacteria
Description: partial 16S ribosomal RNA
Rfam family: Bacterial small subunit ribosomal RNA
Source: RNAcentral
UACAGAGGGGGCAAGCGUUGUUCGGAAUUACUGGGCGUAAAGGGCGCGUAGGCGGCCUGCUAAGUCGAACGUGAAAUCCCCGGGCUCAACCCGGGAACUGCGUCCGAUACUGGUGGGCUUGAAUCCGGGAGAGGGAUGUGGAAUUCCUGGUGUAGCGGUGAAAUGCGCAGAUAUCAGGAGGAACACCGGUGGCGAAGGCGGGUCUCUGGGCCGAUACUGACGCUGAGACGCGAAAGCGUGGGGAGCGAACAGG